GACGAACGCUGGCGGCGUGCUUAACACAUGCAAGUCGAACGAAGUGGCGAACGGGUGAGUAACGCGUAAUCAACCUGCCCUUCAGAGGGGGACAACAGUUGGAAACGCCUGCUAAUACCGCAUACGGAAGGAGGGGAUUGCGUCGGCUUGGCUAGGUGGAGGGGUAACGGCCCACCAAGGCGAUGAUCAGUAGCCGGUCGUGGAGGAGGAACGGCCAAAUUUGGACUGAGACACGGCCCAGACUCCUACGGGAGGCAGCCGUGGGGAAUCGUCCGCAAUGGACGAAAGUCUGACAGAGCAACGCCGCGUGAGUGAUGACGGCCUUCGGGUUGUAAAGCUCUGUUAAUCGGGACGCGGUACCGGAAUAGAAAGCCACGGCUAACUACGUGCCAGCAGCCGCGGUAAUUC
Molecule: ribosomal RNA, 408 nt
Filed under: uncultured bacterium
Lineage: Bacteria
Description: partial 16S ribosomal RNA
Rfam family: Bacterial small subunit ribosomal RNA
Source: RNAcentral